CCGUAAAGGUUCAUUCCACGUUAUCAGACGACUUAAUUGUAAAUAUGUGAUUCAUUGAUCUGGUAUGCAGGGGACACGUGACUCGCGAGCAGGUCUGCUAGGUUUACUUCAUACAAGGUUUUAGUAUGCACACAUAUAAACGUACACUUGUGUGCUACUUUCAUCCUAGUCCGAUAGGUAUGUAUGAGAGUCAUUAGACUAGUGUGAUACAUAGUCAAUGCUAAUGAUAUUGUCCCGUUUAGAUUUGAAAAUACAUACGUAAAUUAUUUCGAUGACUUAGAAUUGUUGUAAACUGAAGUGCAUUGACAAAUAUUUUCUUGUUAACUGCGCUACAUUCAAUCAUUACUUUGUAAUUGAGUUCUUAAGAAUUGCCUUAUGAGCGAGAUUUGAAUUAGUGUAAACAUCGUCAAUAAAUGAAAUACCAUAGACGUUGUAUGUGCCUAAGUCAUUUGUAUGCCGGUUUAGGAUACCUAGUCAAGUAGUAUGCGCUCUGGACUGUCGUUCAGUAUCCUCGAUGGUCACGAGUUCAAACCCUGCCCGCUGACAACCCCCGUCCUCAUGUGGAAGGUUUGUGCAAGGAGAUCUAUUGGAUUGCUUUGUAAUGUUAAGCAGACAGUUUUAAAAAAGUACAGGUGGAGUAACGUCUCAAAAUGUCAAGGACAAAACGAUUAAAAUACGUUUCAGGAAAACAAAAGGUUACUAUGAUCUUCGUGCCAGGGUAUCUAUAAAUUGUAUAUUUCUGUUUAGCCCUUUUUUUUUUUUACGCAGAAAUGCAUACUAUUUGUUUAAGCGUGUAUAUAUGUACACAUUUCAUGGUUGUUUCCUUCCAAUAGUCUUUAACCAUCCUGAAUGACUUGUAUGUUCUCUAUAGAAGAGUAACGCCACAUUAGAACAAUCUUUCUUGUAUCCAAACAUUACAAAAACAGCAGAAUGGCGUGAACAGAUCUGAAAGUCUUUUCGUGAGCAGCAGAAGCAGCGUUGCCAGCUUGGGUAACAUCCUUGACUACAUAUAGUCUAUGGGAUCCCUUCAAACAAGUGUUAUCAAAACACUUUGCUAUGACAGCUGUGACAGAUAUGGGAGUUUGAUGAUAAUAAAAGUGUAGCAGGUAUUAG
Molecule: long non-coding RNA, 1113 nt
Organism: Biomphalaria glabrata
Lineage: Eukaryota; Metazoa; Mollusca; Gastropoda; Planorbidae
Exons: 3
Source: RefSeq, a predicted model, not a curated record